GGUUAAGAUAAUUAAAUUAUUAUUAGAAGUUCUUAGUUUCUUAUAGAGGUGGAAUUUGAAUAAGAAAAUUUAGAUUAAUAACUUCUUUGAUUUGAGGCCUUGAAAACUUAGUUUAAAACCGGGAUUAGAUACCCCGUUAUUUAUUUUGUAAAAUUUGAUGUUUUAAUUUACUUGAGUAUUACGAGUAGCUAGCUGAUAGUAGAUUGGUUGGCGUAGGACUUAAAACUCAAAAAACUUGGCGGUGCCUUAAUUCUUUUCAGGGGAAUUUGUCCCUUAAUCGAUAGUCCUCGAUUUAGCUUACUUCUUCUUGUAUUUUAUUAAUUUUGAAACAGUUUGUAUACCGUCGUCGUCAGAUUACCUUUAAGAGAAAAAGAAGUUGUCAGAAAAAAUUAGUAUAAGUAGCGGCAGUUAUAGUAGAUCUUAUCUGUUGAGAGGUAUACAUAUUUUUAAUGUCAGAUCAAGGUGCAGCUUAUGAAGAAGUGGAGAUGAGUUACAAUGAAUAUUUAUUAUACGGAUUUUAGAUUGUAAAAUUUAAUUAAAGGCGGACUUGAGAGUAAUAUUGGGAAAUAAAUAAAUAUUUUUUAACUAGUGUGUAAAUGUGAAUAUGGUGCUAAGGUGCGU
Molecule: ribosomal RNA, 621 nt
Filed under: Diloma subrostrata
Lineage: Eukaryota; Metazoa; Mollusca; Gastropoda; Trochida; Trochidae
Description: partial 12S ribosomal RNA
Source: RNAcentral